GGGCUUGACAUCCCACGAACCUGCCCGAAAGGGUCGGGUGCCCGCAAGGGAGCGUGGAGACAGGUGGUGCAUGGCUGUCGUCAGCUCGUGUCGUGAGAUGUUGGGUUAAGUCCCGCAACGAGCGCAACCCUCACCCCUUGUUGCCACCGGGUCAUGCCGAGCACUCUAGGGGAACUGCCAGCGUCAAGCUGGAGGAAGGCGGGGAUGACGUCAAGUCAUCAUGCCCCUUACGCCCUGGGCAACACACGUGCUACAAUGGCUGGUACAAAGGGAUGCAAGACCGCGAGGUGGAGCUAAUCCCAAAAAACCAGUCUAAGUUCAGAUUGCAGUCUGCAACUCGACCGCAUGAAGGAGGAAUCGCUAGUAAUCGCGCAUCAGCACGGCGCGGUGAAUACGUUCCCGGGCCUUGUACACACCGCCCGUCACACCACGAAAGCCGGCUGUACUCGAAGUCGCUGAG
Molecule: ribosomal RNA, 460 nt
Filed under: uncultured Methylomirabilota bacterium
Lineage: Bacteria; Methylomirabilota (SeqCode)
Description: bacterial SSU rRNA
Rfam family: Bacterial small subunit ribosomal RNA
Source: RNAcentral